This 1476-nucleotide ribosomal RNA is filed under the name Salmonella enterica. RNAcentral describes it as "partial 23S ribosomal RNA". It matches the Rfam family "Bacterial large subunit ribosomal RNA", at positions 1369 to 2826 of the family's 2925-position model. Lineage: Bacteria; Pseudomonadati; Pseudomonadota; Gammaproteobacteria; Enterobacterales; Enterobacteriaceae. The record is from RNAcentral.
UCGGGGCAGGGUGAGUCGACCCCUAAGGCGAGGCCGAAAGGCGUAGUCGAUGGGAAACGGGUUAAUAUUCCCGUACUUGGUGUUACUGCGAAGGGGGGACGGAGAAGGCUAUGUUGGCCGGGCGACGGUUGUCCCGGUUUAAGCGUGUAGGUGUGUGUUCCAGGUAAAUCCGGUUCACUUUAACACUGAGGCGUGACGACGAGGCACUACGGUGCUGAAGCAACAAAUGCCCUGCUUCCAGGAAAAGCCUCUAAGCAUCAGGUAACACGAAAUCGUACCCCAAACCGACACAGGUGGUCAGGUAGAGAAUACCAAGGCGCUUGAGAGAACUCGGGUGAAGGAACUAGGCAAAAUGGUGCCGUAACUUCGGGAGAAGGCACGCUGACACGUAGGUGAAGUGAUUUACUCAUGGAGCUGAAGUCAGUCGAAGAUACCAGCUGGCUGCAACUGUUUAUUAAAAACACAGCACUGUGCAAACACGAAAGUGGACGUAUACGGUGUGACGCCUGCCCGGUGCCGGAAGGUUAAUUGAUGGGGUCAGCGUAAGCGAAGCUCCUGAUCGAAGCCCCGGUAAACGGCGGCCGUAACUAUAACGGUCCUAAGGUAGCGAAAUUCCUUGUCGGGUAAGUUCCGACCUGCACGAAUGGCGUAAUGAUGGCCAGGCUGUCUCCACCCGAGACUCAGUGAAAUUGAACUCGCUGUGAAGAUGCAGUGUACCCGCGGCAAGACGGAAAGACCCCGUGAACCUUUACUAUAGCUUGACACUGAACAUUGAGCCUUGAUGUGUAGGAUAGGUGGGAGGCUUUGAAGUGUGGACGCCAGUCUGCAUGGAGCCGACCUUGAAAUACCACCCUUUAAUGUUUGAUGUUCUAACGUGGACCCGUAAUCCGGGUUGCGGACAGUGUCUGGUGGGUAGUUUGACUGGGGCGGUCUCCUCCUAAAGAGUAACGGAGGAGCACGAAGGUUGGCUAAUCCUGGUCGGACAUCAGGAGGUUAGUGCAAUGGCAUAAGCCAGCUUGACUGCGAGCGUGACGGCGCGAGCAGGUGCGAAAGCAGGUCAUAGUGAUCCGGUGGUUCUGAAUGGAAGGGCCAUCGCUCAACGGAUAAAAGGUACUCCGGGGAUAACAGGCUGAUACCGCCCAAGAGUUCAUAUCGACGGCGGUGUUUGGCACCUCGAUGUCGGCUCAUCACAUCCUGGGGCUGAAGUAGGUCCCAAGGGUAUGGCUGUUCGCCAUUUAAAGUGGUACGCGAGCUGGGUUUAGAACGUCGUGAGACAGUUCGGUCCCUAUCUGCCGUGGGCGCUGGAGAACUGAGGGGGGCUGCUCCUAGUACGAGAGGACCGGAGUGGACGCAUCACUGGUGUUCGGGUUGUCAUGCCAAUGGCACUGCCCGGUAGCUAAAUGCGGAAGAGAUAAGUGCUGAAAGCAUCUAAGCACGAAACUUGCCCCGAGAUGAGUUCUCCCUGAGACUUAGAGU